Molecule: long non-coding RNA, 717 nt
Organism: Nymphaea colorata (pocket water lily)
Lineage: Eukaryota; Viridiplantae; Streptophyta; Magnoliopsida; Nymphaeales; Nymphaeaceae
Exons: 2
Source: RefSeq, a predicted model, not a curated record
UUUCGGAUGGUAAAAAAAAUUCCUCCUCUCGACAAUAAAGAAACAGGAGAACUGAAAGGGGCGAUGUAAGAAUGAAGAAGGGCACUCCACCGCUUAGAAUGCUUUCCCGUUCGACGUUAGGAGCCGGCGGCGACUUCACCCGGCGAAGGUGGAUACCGCUCUCUUGUAGGGGCGGCGAGGUUCGAGCCAGCGGCGAGGUUCCACCAGGCGGGCAGGAGCGGCGCUCUCGGUUCUGUGAUGGGAGGCCGACGAUGAAGUGUCUGCGGGCGGUGGAGUGGUGACGCUGUGAUGGGAGACAGACGAUGAAGCGUCUGCCUAAUCUCACGGAGGAUGUUCGUGACCCACAAAAGAUGCUCAUGUGGAACGGAAGCCGCUCAUUCUAUAGUGCAACAGCGUCUAGUACUGGGCCCAGACUCGCUCGCUUGCUCAUUAUCCUGUGUUGCUGCUAUGGGAGAGAAGGGUACCAAUAAAGCAUAUUUAUUUUGAUUGGUGGCAGUCAAUUCACCAACUAUUUAUGAGGUCUCGUGCAUGGAUCCAUACAUUAGAAUCCAUAUUCGUGUAACUAGAUCUAGGUUCUGUUCAGAUCCAUGUAACUGGAUGUAUAUCUAUGAUCCACCUUUCUCUAUUUAAAUUAUAACCCAAGGCUCGAUUGUAAAAGCUCUAAAUGUAACAUUUUCUCUAGUUAAUUUCAUUUGUUUCUUUUUAGUUGUAAAUCAA